GCAGGGCUGGGCGAGCG
RNAcentral lists this microRNA (17 nucleotides) under Macrophomina phaseolina MS6. RNAcentral describes it as "miR-4508". The record is from RNAcentral. Lineage: Eukaryota; Fungi; Ascomycota; Dothideomycetes; Botryosphaeriales; Botryosphaeriaceae.